Molecule: unclassified non-coding RNA, 2427 nt
Filed under: Daphnia magna
Lineage: Eukaryota; Metazoa; Arthropoda; Branchiopoda; Diplostraca; Daphniidae
Description: gMP synthase [glutamine-hydrolyzing]-like, transcript variant X2
Source: RNAcentral
CUCACCAUUAUUUUAUUUUUUUGUUGUUGGAAAUAAUCAGCAAGAAAUAGCGUCAUCUAACGAUACCAACAGGAGAAAUUUAAAUUACUAUUGAAUAUUGAUUAUAAUUUUUCUUUACAUUUUUUAUCGAUUUCAUCGUUUCCAUUUUCCAAUAGACAAGCAGACGAAUUUGUGACAUUAGAACGAAAGAUUCGACACGUGUUAACUGUAAAGAGGACCAGCUGCUGAUGUUACAAAAUCGUCAAGUGUUAAGCUGGAGCUAAUAAAUGUUCUUGUUCCGUUUUAAUCAUUCUUUAGGCUACUCGUUAAUCCACAGAAAUUUGCUAUUUUUUGGUAUCAAUUGUUUUUUUUAUUGUUUUCAUGAAUGGAGAUUUAUUCCACAAUCUUCAGCUUCCCAUGCAGACACCCACCCACAAAUCUAUGGGGUGAUAGAUGAUAUAAAAAUUUAUUAAUUAAAAAAUUUACAUUUUAGGUUAUUGAUUGCAGAGUCAGAGAACAAUGUGUGGAAUCUGAUAUUCUAGCCCUCGAAACCCCAGCUGCCCUUCUGCUUCAACAAGGCUAUAAAGCAAUUAUAAUUUCAGGAGGUCCCAGUAUACGCAGCGGAUGCCCCACUAUACGACCCAGCAAUCUUUACCGGCCGUCUUCGAGUGCCGGGAAUUUGUUAUGCAUGCAAUUAAUCAACAAGGCAUUAGGUGGAAUGGUGGAGAGAAAAGAUGUUAACGAAGAUGGGCAAUUCAAGAACCAAGUAGAAACGGAGUGCCCAUUGUUUAAAGGCUUAGAGACUCGGCAAAUGGUAUAACUGAUCCAUGGUGACGGGGUAGACAAGGUUGCAGAAGGGUUGCGUUGCGUUUGCGUCGCAAAAUGUUCGCGUCAUAUUAUUUCCGCUAUUGCCGAUACUGAACGCCGUCUUUACGGAGUCUAGUUCCAUGAUUUAAUUGAAAACGGACGAAAAAUGUUGCAUAACUUCUUGUUCGACAUCUGUGGAUUGCAAGGAGGUUUCACAUUGAAGAAACGAGAGCAGUAGUUUAUCGAUUACAUCCGGCGUACGGUCGGACGUGAACAGAUCGUGCUCAUGCUGGUAAGCGGUGGAGUCGAUUUCGCCAUUUGUACUGCCCUUUUCCAUGAAGCACUUCUACAGGUGAUAACUCGUCACGAGUGCAGGGCAUUUAUACCGAUAACUGUUUCCUGCGUAAAGACGAAUCCGAGCAGGUCGUCACUAGUUUACAGCAACUCGGGCUCAUUCUCCCGACAGUGGCUUCUCAUUUUUCUUACCAGCGAUCAGAUUUGAGGUUUCAAAUUGUUUUAGGUUAAAUGAAGUUUGACUUUCUACGAUGCUUGCACCAACUUGCAUGGACGUCAAAUUUUGUCGUUGUGUCGGAAUGUUAAUCCCGUAGAAAAACGUCGAAUUAUUGCCGAUUCGUUUGUCAAAUUGGCAGAUGGAAGAGCUAACGAUUUAAAUCUCACUUGGGAUAAUCUAUUUCUCGGACGAGGUAAUUUAAGCCUGGUUUUAAUUGGUCUGGUAUGCUAUAAAAUUAUAAUUGAUUAAGCAAAAAUACUUACUGAGAUUGAAAGCCAAAAUUUUGUUAUUGUAAGCUGCAUACCACAUUGUGUUGAAAACAGCAAAAGUGGAUAUUCCAAACAAGUUAACAGGCACUAUGAUUUAAUACUUAAUGAAUCAUAGAAAAAUGAUAAAUUUUGCAACAGUUAAGCCGGGUACUUUUACACCAGAAAGAGUCAGGUGAACGUAUCAAAACGAAAACUGGGACUAAGACGGCCAAGAAUCAUUACUAACCGGUAACUUAACCGAAAUCAGCGUUUAAUUUGAUUUAAUGUGCUUCAGAACGUUUUUUGUAGCUGACACAGCGUCAGAGUGCUACAUCAUAUUUUCCUAUGCUUAUGUGUCUUAAUUACGGAGGGCGAAGCAAUGAAGCACUACUCAAGGUUUGCCAAAGGUAGGUAGUUAUCGCUAGAUGACGUUUAACUUGAGAACUAGUUCGCCCGGUUUGGGCGUUUGUUAAAGAAACUGUACGCCCAUUGAUAAACUAACAUGACUUUCUUGAUUAGUCGAUAUCCCCUAUCGUUAGUUUUGCAGGAAGAGCUCACGGUUUCCGGAAUUUUAUGGCGACCAGGAUGGACCCUAUCGGGAACUUCGGGAACGGAGUGUGGGUCCAUAAUGGAUCGACCGAUACUUUUUUUUAAAGACUUUACCCCAGAGAUGCGCGGUGAUUUCAAGGUUUCGGCACUAAUCUCUCGUUUGUUUUUUUACUAGGGGCCCUCACUCCGUUCGCGAAGUUCCGAUACAAAAAAGGAAAAAGAAACGAUAACAGCUGGAAGGGCAUGUGGAAAUUUCAAAGGACGCUACCUGCACGUUACCUUUAGUCGCUGAUUAAUCUGGAAGAUAAAAUAUAAAAAUUUUUAUAAAUUGAA